This 183-nucleotide non-coding RNA is filed under the name Gammaproteobacteria bacterium. Its description in RNAcentral is "6S RNA". It matches the Rfam family "6S / SsrS RNA". From Rfam's summary of the family: E. coli 6S RNA was the first non coding RNA to be sequenced, but its function was unknown until recently. The record is from RNAcentral. Lineage: Bacteria; Pseudomonadati; Pseudomonadota; Gammaproteobacteria.
CGCUCUCUGGUAUUCAGGUAAGUACCUCGAAUAUUUCUUGAGCCGAUAAAUCACUCUCCGGGGACUAAAUUCUGGCAUUGUGUGCAUGUCCGCUCGACGGAAAGCCUAAUAUGUCAGUCGCUGUCCCCAAGCUGAACUCCAGGGUUCAAGGAGAGCGAGGACUACGGAAUUUCCGGAGAGUGC